AAGUCAAAUGUGAAAUCCCCGAGAGCUUACCUUGGGAAUUGCAUUCGAUACUGGUUAGCUAGAGUGUGGGAGAGGAUGGUAGAUUUCCAGGUGUAGCGGUGAAAUGCGUAGAGAUCGGAAGGAAUACCGAUGGGCGAAGGCAGCCAUCUGGCCUAACACUGACGCUGAGGUGAGAAAGCAUGGGGAGCAAACAGGAAUUAGAUACCCUGGUAGUCCAUGCCGUAAACGAUGUCUACUAGCCGUUGGGGCCUUUGAGGGCUUUAGUGGCGCAGCUAACGCGAUAAGUAGACCGCCUGGGGAGUACGGUCGCAAGAAUAAAACUCAAAUGAAUUGACGGGGGCCCGCACAAGCGGUGGAGCAUGUGGUUUAAUUCGAUGCAACGCGAAGAACCUUACCUGGCCUUGACAUAGUAAGAACUUUCCAGAGAUGGAUUGGUGCCUUCGGGAACUUACAUACAGGUGCUGCAUGGCUGUCGUCAGAUAAUGUCGUGAGAUGUUGGGUUAAGUCCCGCAACGAGCGCAACCCUUUUCCUUAUUUGCCAGCGAGUAAUGUCGGGAACUUUAAGGAUACUGCCAGUGACAAACUGGAGGAAGGCGGGGACGACGUCAAGUCAUC
Molecule: ribosomal RNA, 615 nt
Filed under: Acinetobacter calcoaceticus
Lineage: Bacteria; Pseudomonadati; Pseudomonadota; Gammaproteobacteria; Moraxellales; Moraxellaceae
Description: bacterial SSU rRNA
Rfam family: Bacterial small subunit ribosomal RNA
Source: RNAcentral